RNAcentral lists this ribosomal RNA (297 nucleotides) under uncultured bacterium. RNAcentral describes it as "partial 16S ribosomal RNA". It matches the Rfam family "Bacterial small subunit ribosomal RNA", at positions 335 to 629 of the family's 1533-position model. The record is from RNAcentral.
UCUCCUACGGGAGGCAGCAGUGAGGAAUAUUGGUCAAUGGGCUUACGCCUGAACCAGCCAAGUCGCGUGAGGGAAGACUGCCCUAUGGGUUGUAAACCUCUUUUGUCAGGGAGCAACGCCGACUACGUGUAGCCGGACUGAGAGUACCUGAAAAAAAAGCAUCGGCUAACUCCGUGCCAGCAGCCGCGGGAAUACGGAGGAUGCGAGCGUUAUCCGGACUUAUUGGGUUUAAAGGGUGCGUAGGCGGAAGGCCAAGUCAGCGGUAAAAUCGCGGGGCUCAACCUCUCUCGGCCGUUG